RNAcentral lists this ribosomal RNA (489 nucleotides) under uncultured bacterium. RNAcentral describes it as "partial 16S ribosomal RNA". It matches the Rfam family "Bacterial small subunit ribosomal RNA", at positions 28 to 507 of the family's 1533-position model. The record is from RNAcentral.
GAUGAACGCUAGCUACAGGCUUAACACAUGCAAGUCGAGGGGCAGCAUGAACUUAGCUUGCUAAGUUUGAUGGCGACCGGCGCACGGGUGAGUAACACGUAUCCAACCUGCCGAUGACUCGGGGAUAGCCUUUCGAAAGAAAGAUUAAUACCCGAUGGCAUAGUUCUUCCGCAUGGUAGAACUAUUAAAGAAUUUCGGUCAUCGAUGGGGAUGCGUUCCAUUAGGUUGUUGGCGGGGUAACGGCCCACCAAGCCUUCGAUGGAUAGGGGUUCUGAGAGGAAGGUCCCCCACAUUGGAACUGAGACAAGGGCCAAACACCUACGGGAGGCAGCAGUGAGGAAUAUUGGUGAAUGGACGAGAGUCCGAACCAGCCAAGUAGCGUGAAGGAAGACUGCCCGAUGGGUUGUAAACUUCUUUUAUAAGGGAAUAAAGUGAGGCACGUGUGCCUUUUUGUAUGUACCGUAUGAAUAAGGAUCGGCUAACUCCGUG